Unclassified non-coding RNA from Callithrix jacchus (white-tufted-ear marmoset), 301 nucleotides. It matches the Rfam family "Metazoan signal recognition particle RNA". Rfam says of the family: The signal recognition particle (SRP) is a universally conserved ribonucleoprotein. It is involved in the co-translational targeting of proteins to membranes. Lineage: Eukaryota; Metazoa; Chordata; Mammalia; Primates; Cebidae. The record is from Ensembl.
GCUCGGCGCGGUGGUGUGUGCCUGUAGUCCCAGCUAACUCGGGAGGCUGAGGUGGGAGGAUCGCUUGAGCCCAGGAGUUCUGGGCUGUAGUGCACUAUGCCGAUCAGGUGUCCGCACCAAGUUUGGCAUCAAUAUGGUGACCUCCCAGGAGCAGGGGAACACCAGGUUGCCUCAGGAGGGGUGAACCAACCCAGGUUGGAAACGGAGCAGGUCAAAAUUCCCAUGCUCAUCAGUAGUGGGAUUGCGCCUGUGAAUAGCCACUGCACUCCAGCCUGGGCAACGUGGUGAAACCUUGUCUCUA